This 1518-nucleotide ribosomal RNA is filed under the name uncultured bacterium. RNAcentral describes it as "bacterial SSU rRNA". It matches the Rfam family "Bacterial small subunit ribosomal RNA". The record is from RNAcentral.
GACGAACGCUGGCGGCGUGGAUUAGGCAUGCAAGUCGAACGGUAUGGACCUUUCGGGGUUCAGAGAGUGGCGAACGGGUGAGUAACACGUAGGUAAUCUACCCUCAAGACGGGGACAACCCAGGGAAACUUGGGCUAAUACCGGAUGUGUGUAGUGGCUAUUUUUCUGAUUAUCAUUAUUUACGUAAGUGAGUAAUAAUAAGAAGGGAAAGUGGUUAUUACAUAAAAGGUGGCGUAAGCUGCCGCUUGGGGAUGAGCCUGCGUCCUAUUAGUUAGUUGGUGAGGUAACGGCUUACCAAGGCGAUGAUAGGUAGGCGGCCUUAACGGGUGGUCGCCCACACUGGGAUUGAGAUACGGCCCAGACUCCUACGGGAGGCAGCAGUCGAGAAUAGUCUACAAUGGACGGAAGUCUGAUAGUGCGACGCCGCGUGAACGAAGAAUCCCUUCGGGGUGUAAAGUUCUUUUAUACGUGAGCAGUGUCCUUUAUAUUAAUAGUAUAAGGGGAGAGAUAUUAGCGUAUGAAUAAGCAACGGCUAACUCCGUGCCAGCAGCCGCGGUAACACGGGGGUUGCGAGCGUUGUCCGGAAUUACUAGGCGUAAAGUGCAGGUAGGCGGAUAAAUAAGUUUAAGGUUAAAGGCUACGGCUUACCCGUAGUAAGGCGUUAGAUACUGUUUAUCUGGAAUGCGGUUGAGGGAGACAGAAUUCCUGGUGUAGCGGUGGAAUGCGCAGAGAUCAGGAGGAAUACCGAAGGCGAAGGCAGUCUUCUAAGCCGAUAUUGACGCUAAACUGCGAAGGUGUGGGGAUCAAACAGGAUUAGAUACCCUGGUAGUCCACACAGUAAACGAUAAUCACUAGGUGUUGGGUUCUUAAGAGGAUUCAGUGCCGGAGCUAACGCGAUAAGUAAUCCACCUGGGGAGUACGUUCGCAAGAAUGAAACUCAAAGGAAUUGACGGGGACCCGCACAAGCGGAGGAACAUGUGGUUUAAUUCGAUGAUACGCGAGGAACCUUACCCGGGCUUGAAAUGCAUCUGACGUAUUCGGAAACGGAUAUUCCCUACGGGGCAGAUGUGUAGGUGCUGCAUGGUUGUCGUCAGCUCGUGCCGUGAGGUGUCGGCUUAAGUGCCAUAACGAGCGCAACCCUCAUCGUCAGUUACCAUCAGGUAAAGCUGGGGACUCUGGCGAGACUGCCAUCGUAAGAUGCGAGGAAGGUGGGGAUGACGUCAAAUCAUCAUGCCCCUUAUGACCUGGGCUACACACGUACUACAAUGGCAGGAAACAGAGGGAAGCAAUACCGCGAGGAGGAGCAAAUCCCUAAAAACUGUCCCAGUUCGGAUUGCAGGCUGCAACUCGCCUGCAUGAAGUCGGAAUUGCUAGUAAUCGCGAAUCAGCAUGUCGCGGUGAAUACGUUCCCGGGCCUUGUACACACCGCCCGUCACACCAUGGGAGUCGGUAACACCCGAAGCCGGUUGCCUAACCGCAAGGAGGGCGCCGUCGAAGGUGGGAUUGAUGACUGGGGUG